CCCCGCUCUCGCUGCUCACGUGCCGCGCAGGUGAUCCUGAUGGGCCUGGUGGAGGGCUACCGUGUGAACGGCGGCCCGGCCGGCGAGGGCCUGGACCCGCUGUACCCCGGCGAGUCGUUCGACCCCCUGGGCCUGGCUGACGACCCGGACACCUUCGCCGAGCUCAAGGUCAAGGAGAUCAAGAACGGCCGCCUGGCCAUGUUCUCCAUGUUCGGCUUCUUCGUGCAGGCCAUUGUGACCGGCAAGGGGCCCAUUGAGAACCUGAACGACCAUCUGGCCAACCCGGCCGUCAACAACGCCUUCGCCUUCGCCACCAAGUUCACGCCCAGCGCGUAAUGUAUCGCUGCUACGUUUGCUAGUCGAAGCGGUUGUCCGCAUCUGCCGGCCGCUGCUGCCUUCAGCUACGUUACGUUGUUUAGCUAUGUGAACGUAGACACAACAUACCCAAUAAACUGCCAAUACCGGUAUACGAGACGUCACAUGCAUAGCAAUUGCAGGCAGUAGUUGCCUAUCCGUCGCUGUUGGGUAAAUACGCUUGGAUGCGCAGCUUGCCAAAACUGUUGAGUGAUGCGUGGGUGCUUGUCAGUUAUUUCCAUCGAACCUCGUUGUCGCACUGUGGCCACCUCUGUUUUUAAUGUCGUGUUCCUGCGAUGAGUUCCCGCGUGGUGAGUGGUGAGCAGCGGCGGAAGCGGUCCUGUUACGGGCCUGAAGUUUUGAUGUGGGUGUUUCCCAGUAGGGGUUUCCCACAGCACGGGUGUUGAGGUGGAGCUCUUACUUUUGGGUGGGGUAUUGGGCGGUGAGACGUGAGAUAUCAAGAGCUUCAUACAAAGCGCAUGCACGUGCUGGGUGCGUUGCGCCAAGCAAGCUCCUGUAACAUUUCGGUGUUCAUGACAUAAGGAAGGUCUCGGUUCCAGUGCUUGUUUCACCGCUUCUUGGGGCGGGAGCACAUACAGCCAUUUUGGUGGGCGCGUACUGCAAAGGCGGCCACGCAAACAGGCACACAUGGAGAACACGCGCGAGACACGAGCUAAAGGAACAUGUCAUUCAGAGGGAUGAUUCGAGGUGCAUAUGGCCACGCUCUAUCGCGCGAAAGAAGCCAAGGGUUAUCGUGGCUUUCCUGUGUUAGCGAAGUGAGCUAGGCGCUUAAUCGCGGGUUGAUGGCCUCGGUUGUCGUACAGUGCAAGAGUUAAACUUCAGCAAACCACGUUGGUAGGUCACUCCCCGCCGACAUCAUCACUGGCGCGGCAUAGGUCAUCGCCAAUCCCUCUAGCGUACAGCGGCCUCGGCCUCCGCGAACCAGGCUCGCUACCUUCCUCACAGCCAGGAACUACGUUGCCACUGGAAGGUACCCCGAUGCACCAAGAAGGCUUAUUGUGGCGCUCGCCUCGGGCUUAUGUGUCCCGUUUCGGAUAGCACAGCAUCAGCACCACGAAAAACCUGCCGAUAUGCAUAACAAAAAAUCACACACACACACCAACACACACACACAUACUUACAAACACAAACACACACAAACACAAACCACACACUCACUCUCUUUCUUUUUCUUGUCAUGCAGAAACACACAGACGCACACCCACACCCACACACAUGCACACACGCGCACACACAUGCACACACACACACACACACGCACACACACGCACAUACGCACACGCACACGCCACACUUAAGUCGAAGGAAAAAGGCACGAAGUCGGACUGGAGCCUUGUAAUGAGUGAUGCCGUUACCUGGAUUACAGUCCGGUGUAGAACCAUGGGACGUGCAAUGAUAUGGAGUCUUAAAAGCUCGGCAACCAGAUGGACGCCGCUGCAUGCUGGCUACUGCUUUCAGUAUCACCCUGGCUGGCAGGCCCCUUUCGAUCAGUUUCGCAUCCGCAAGGCCAGAGCAUGCAGCAUCGCCAAUGGUUUGACCACCUGCUCCCGUAACUUAAGAACCAAAUACCGAAUGCCAGUGCCAUGGGUCCAGUACUCCCCCAGAAAGGCAGGAUGACACACAAAUAGGCUACCCGCUGUCCCUUGUCUAUCUGGUACUGCCCCGCGACUUUAUGCAUAAAACUGCUGGUCACAAGAAGUUCUUCUUUGUUCCUUUCACAGUUCAAUUGGUAGCCUGAAGCUAAGCAUGCGUGGAGUGCUGAACAUGUAGCGUGCGUGGUGAAACCCCUGGCAAAAGAGGUAACAAACAGAGGGCGUGCUGGCGUUCCGUUCAGUACUUCAGAGGUCAAAGGCAAGCCAUGGGCAAAGUAGGAGCUUUUCCCAGGUGCCAGCCUUAGGCUCCGACGUUUGGAAGCCCGUGGCCGAUUGUAAGUUGCGAAGAGCUCAUGCGUUUGGUCGAGGCCGACCGUCCUCCCUUGAUCGGACGACAGGUUGCUACGCACGUGCUUGUUGCUUUCCUUCGGUCCUAAACGGCCUCCGGUUCGGCGCUGUCGCCCUUUUGCGGUCCAGCAGAGCUUGGACCUUGUGUUCACCGGCCCUGUCCGGGAUGGAAUGCCCUUUGCCGUCCUAAGCAGCGUGACCCAUUAUAUCAGCUUGCUUCCUAGCAAGGACAACAGCUACUGUCCUCCCGUCCUACGGUACUGGUAAUGAGUAAAGGCCGAACAGCUAGGGUCAAACAUGGAGAGACCACUUUUGGCGCCUAAAGAAUGCAUUGCAGUGCGUAUCAAAAUCCAUGUUCAGCGUGCACGUCACAGCAUUUAUACAGUCGCCACUGAGUUAUCCCUGCAUCAGAAACUUGUAUGAAACUUGCAAGCAGGUGUAGCAAAUCGUUCAUGCCAAUCUGUGCAAGUGCAGAUAGCUGUUAAGCGCAUGUGUUGCAGGUGUGCCAUGUCUGUAUCCUGCGAUCUCUGUUAGGUAAGCGCCCUGUCCCACGGACAGGACAGGGAUACGGCGUGCGUACGGCAUCAAGAUUUGCUUGCAAAACAAAAGCGCUGGUUGCCUGUGCUUUCAGUAUCAGUUCUCUCCUUUGUGCAGCAGAGUCUGAUCACCUUACGAACAUCUAAAAUGGCUUUCGCUCUCGGCACCUCGCGCGAGGCUCUGCAGGUCGCAUGCAAGGCGACCGGCAAGAAGGCCGCUGCUAAGGUCCGUUUUAUUUCGACACCAUUUAUUUUAUCAGCGUACCUUACAUAGACGCACAUACGUAUUUGCAGUGUCCUCUGGCUAACCAGAGACGUUUGUCCCGUUCGCAACAUCUUUACAGCCGGCUGCCCCCAAGAGCUCUGGCAUCGAGUGGUAUGGCCCGAACCGCGCUAAGUGGCUCGGUAGGUUAUCCUGGAGAUCCGAGGAGAUCCGAUAUGCAGCGGGUGUAGCGCGUAUCGGAGGGCCGGAAUAAUCGGUCGGUCUCCUGCAUGGUCCUCCUUUCGGCGCAACAUGCCGCAGCGUCAGGUUUCUGUGCGCAGGCUGCUCUCUCGGUCCUUUGCUGACAUCGCGCGAUGCAUGCUGCGAUGAAGGGCACAGGUUGCGUCUUUCCCCCUUUCGCGACCUGCCGUUCAGUAGCCCGCUGCCGCCGUAUGUCCGCUUUCCCCUUCUGUGCCCACAUCGGACAGGCCCCUACAGCGAGAAUGCCACCCCUGCCUACCUGACUGGCGAGUUCCCCGGUGACUACGGCUGGGACACUGCUGGCCUGUCUGCUGACCCGGAGACGUUCAAGCGCUACCGCGAGCUGGAGCUGAUCCAUGCACGCUGGGCCAUGCUUGGCGCUCUGGGCUGCCUGACCCCCGAGCUGCUGUCCAAGAACGGCGUGCAGUUCGGUGAGGCUGUGUGGUUCAAGGCCGGCGCUCAGAUCUUCCAGGAGGGCGGCCUGGACUACCUGGGCAACCCGUCGCUGGUGCACGCUCAGAACAUCGUCGCGACGCUGGCGUGCCAGGUGGGCGGGAGGGACGUGGCUGCAUGCUUAGGAAUGUGUCCGGUCGCCUUACUUGUUAGCUGGCUAGGUGAAACAAGGUGGGGCGCGGCAACUGUGCUGCCAGCCCUUGACUG
Molecule: long non-coding RNA, 3974 nt
Filed under: Volvox carteri
Lineage: Eukaryota; Viridiplantae; Chlorophyta; Chlorophyceae; Chlamydomonadales; Volvocaceae
Description: long non-coding RNA (VCAR_LNC003468)
Source: RNAcentral